Molecule: unclassified non-coding RNA, 539 nt
Filed under: Hevea brasiliensis (rubber tree)
Lineage: Eukaryota; Viridiplantae; Streptophyta; Magnoliopsida; Malpighiales; Euphorbiaceae
Source: RNAcentral
AUUUUCUUUUAUGUCACUUCCCAUUCUACCCCAAGUUGAAGUUGAAAUUCCGAAAAAAAAGUGAAGUCUCCUAUUAAUAGAACAUGUAGCGUAAACCCUAAACCCAAGCCUCCUCUUCUCCUUAAACCCUAAAUUCUCUACCUCUGCGAAAAUGGCUGUCACUAACAUCAUCAGAAGGACUGCUUCUCAAGUUGUACCCUUGGCUGCUCGGGUGAUCUUUAGAACACAGAGUUACCAUCAUCGAUCCUCUGCUCUCUUAUCCACCAUAGUUAACCGUAGUGCUGCUUCUAGAAACUUCUUUCGGAGCUCAGCACCGUCCACCCUUCAUUUCUAUUCUACCAAGAGGCCCAGUUCUGAUGAAUCACUCCUCAAAGUCAUUCAGUCCGAAAUCCAAUGUGCCGAGGAAUCCGACGAACAAGACGAGGUUGAGGAGGCUCCUGAGGGUUUCCCCUUCAAGAUUGAAGAUCAUCCUGGACAACAAACUAUUACAUUGACAAGAGAAUAUCAAGGUGAAUCUAUAAAUGUGGAAGUUCACAUGC